Molecule: long non-coding RNA, 2054 nt
Organism: Cyprinus carpio carpio
Lineage: Eukaryota; Metazoa; Chordata; Actinopteri; Cypriniformes; Cyprinidae
Source: Ensembl
CAUUGAACUUCAACCAUAGUUUUAAAUUAGAAAUGAUCAGAAGCCCUUCAUUACAGCUGUAGCGAUUUGUCUUGUGUGAGAGGAUGUUAAAAUUCAGUACUGAGCUGAAACAGUCUUUAUGACUUCAUAUAUGACUUCACAGCUUCAAAAUUCCACUCUGAUACAGCCUGAAUCUCUCUCUCUCUCUCUCUUUCUCUCUCCGUCUACCUCCACUCACUCGCUCGCUCGUUCUUUCUGUCUGGCCAAGCCUCGGGUAGAAAAAUGUAGCAUAGCUUUGACAGCUAUCCCUGAUGGUUAUUUUUGGAUUCCAGGAGAAACUAUCACUAAAUGUUGUACGAGAGAUAUGUACUGUGAAGACGCUCAGAUCAUGUUCCUGCAACGCAGUUUGAGUUUGAUCUUCCAUUAUCAUCUGAUUUUUCAGGGGAUCCACUGGUUAGCAAGAGAUGUAUUUCUACAUUUCUCCAAAUCUAUUCCACUGAAGAAAUAAACUCUACAUCUUGGAUAACCUGUGGGGCCAGUGAGGGAAAGAGAGUUUCAGUGGAGGAAAUCCUGCCAUCAUCUGAGACCCAGUCCCCCAUGAGAAAUGAUUCCUGGCACGCUUGCUGGGACCAGAGGCUGGAGAUAUAUGCUCAUACUGUAAUUACGGGAUGUAUGGAGCAUGACCUGUCAGACUGAGGGAAGUGCCUUGAUCGCUCCUUCAUCCUUCUCUCUUUCUCUCCGCACUGAUGUGUGUCCACAGCCCACUCUUGAACCAUCUGGAGGAGUGUGUGUGUUGUAUUGAGGAUGACAGGAGCUCUGACUCUCGCUGUGGGUCACUGUCAGACAGGCAGCAGGUGUUACGCAGAUUCUCCAGCCACACGAAUCCACAUUCUCAUGCAUGUUUACUCAUUUGAUCAACAUUCAUGGUCACUUGCUGAUUCAAAUUCUGAAUAUUAAAAUUAGGCCGCAAAAAGUCAUAGGUCAUAAUGUGUUUUUUUUUAAUAAAUUAUAUCAAUUUUAGGAGUCAUUAAAAAUUCUAAAAAUGAAAACCACUUACAAUGUUAGUCAGUAAUUCAUAAUUUAGUUUUACAUCAGCACUUUGCACUCUUUCUCUGCCCCUUACAUUUAAAUUGGCCUUUUUUUGGCUGCUGUGCCUUUUAGACUUCUAUACAAAUGCCCUUUUCACAUGUGAAAUGAGCAACCACGCUCUGCUGUCGGAUCCAAUAUAGUGUUUAACUGUUCCAUCCUUCAAUAACAAGCUAUUUGCAAAGCCUGAAAUUACAUUGUGACGCUCGAACUGUUAAGGUCACACGGAUGUGACUAUUUCAGGGUUAAAUUUAAAAAUACUCUGUUUCGAAACAUCAGGGAAAAUUUGAUAAUGACCCCUUUAACCCUACUGCAUUAUAUUUGAUACACAUUUCUAAGGCCUCUAAAUGAUGAACAUGAUCAUUUCUUCAAAGAUGCUUUCUGUCGUCUGAUUGAUAAAUUUAUACUUUUUAAAAAGCCUUUUAGUAUAAUUUAACAAACGUGCAUCUUCAGCUCGUGCUCCAUGUGUCUACUGACUUUUAUCAAGUAAACAUAAGAAUAACUUUGAUAUUGUUACUAGUAUUUCAAGAUAAACAUUGGACUGAGGAGACUUAGCUUUUGCUUAUUCACUCAUCAUUUUUUAGAAAAUAUUAAAAUGCAGUUAUCAAAUAUGAUCAUUCAGGCUUUUGAGGAAUGUCUGUUUGCUCAUCUCUCAAUGUGUUUUCAUAAAAAAAAUUGGCAUUUCAAUAUUCUUACUAAGAAUAAGAUAUAGAUUGACAACUAAUAUUUCUGUAAUUUUAUGUAAGGUAUCUGCUAUACUGUUUUCUCAUUGACUUACAUAACAAGCUUUCAAAAUUUUAUCCUGCUUUUUGUCUAUAUAAAUAUCAGCAUCUGCACCAAACUGCAAGUUUUGCUCAGUUUGUGCCUCUGAAUAAAACUGAGCUGUUUUCCCUCCAUAUUCUCACUAUGUCAUACUAUAUGAACCAUAAAUGAACUAUAUGAACCACCUGGUGUAUCAAAUAUGAUACUCAACAAAAAUCAUAUAUGCA